RNAcentral lists this long non-coding RNA (3731 nucleotides) under Citrus x clementina. RNAcentral's name for it is "Citrus clementina (C. clementina) long non-coding RNA (CCLE_LNC006067)". Lineage: Eukaryota; Viridiplantae; Streptophyta; Magnoliopsida; Sapindales; Rutaceae. The record is from RNAcentral.
CCAAGGCUAUAGCCCACCCGUUUUUUGGCCAUUUUUCCGCUGGGGGGUUUUGGCACCUCGACCUUCGGGCGCUUAUUUUUGGGCGCGGCUUUGCCCGUGGCUUAUUUUUGGCACCCCGAGGCCCCUCGCAAAGUCUCGCCGCAUUCCGAGUCCGGCGGACGAACGUCGCCCGCGCCCCCCACCAAGGCUAUAGCCCACCCGUUUUUUGGCCAUUUUUCCGCUAGGGGGUUUUGGCACCACGACCUUCGGGCGCUUAUUUUUGGGCGCGGCUUUGCCCGCGGCUUAUUUUUGGCACCCCGAGGCCCCUCGCAAAGUCUCGCCCCAUUCCGAGUCCGGCGGACGAACUUCGCCCGCGGCCCCCACCAAGGCUAUAGCCCACCCAUUUUUUGGCCAUUUUUCCGCUGGGGGGUUUUGGCACCACGACCUUCGGGCGCUUAUUUCUGGGCGCGGCUUUGCCCGCGGCUUAUUUUUGGCACCCCGAGGCCCCUCGCAAAGUCUCGCCGCAUUCCGAGUCCGGCGGACGAACGUCGCCCGCGCCCCCCACCAAGGCUAUAGCCCACCCGUUUUUUGGCCAUUUUUCCGCUGGGGGGUUUUGGCACCACGACCUUCGGGCGCUUAUUUUUGGGCGCGGCUUUGCCCGCGGCUUAUUUUUGGCACCCCGAGGCCCCUCGCAAAGUCUCGCCGCAUUCCGAGUCCGGCGGACGAACUUCGCCCGCGCCCCCCACCAAGGCUAUAGCCCACCCGUUUUUUGGCCAUUUUUCCGCUGGGGGGUUUUGGCACCACGACCUUCGGGCGCUUAUUUUUGGGCGCGGCUUUGUCCGCGGCUUAUUUUUGGCACCCCGAGGCCCCUCGCAAAGUCUCGCCGCAUUCCGAGUCCGGCGGACGAACUUCGCCCGCGCCCCCCACCAGGCUAUAGCCCACCCGUUUUUUGGCCAUUUUUCCGCUGGGGGGUUUCGGCACCACGACCUUCGGGCGCUUGGUGGGGGGACUUUACCAUUUUUCUCGCCCCAUUUUUUGGCUUUGCCCGCGGCUUAUUUUUGGCACCCCGAGGCCCGUCGCAAAGUCUCGCCGCAUUCCGAGUCCGGCGGACGAACGUCGCCCGCGCCCCCCACCAAGGCUAUAGCCCACCCGUUUUUUGGCCAUUUUUCCGCUGGGGGGUUUUGGCACCUCGACCUUCGGGCGCUUAUUUUUGGGCGCGGCUUUGCCCGUGGCUUAUUUUUGGCACCCCGAGGCCCCUCGCAAAGUCUCGCCGCAUUCCGAGUCCGGCGGACGAACGUCGCCCGCGCCCCCCACCAAGGCUAUAGCCCACCCGUUUUUUGGCCAUUUUUCCGCUAGGGGGUUUUGGCACCACGACCUUCGGGCGCUUAUGUUUGGGCGCGGCUUUGCCCGCGGCUUAUUUUUGGCACCCCGAGGCCCCUCGCAAAGUCUCGCCCCAUUCCGAGUCCGGCGGACGAACUUCGUCCGCGCCCCCCACCAAGGCUAUAGCCCACCCGUUUUUUGGCCAUUUUUCCGCUAGGGGGUUUUGGCACCACGACCUUCGAGCGCUUAUUUUUGGGCGCGGCUUUGCCCGCGGCUUAUUUUCUGCACCCCGAGGCCCCUCGCAAAGUCUCGCCGCAUUCCGAGUCCGGCGGACGAACGUCGCCCGCGCCCCCCACCAAGGCUAUAGCCCACCCGUUUUUUGGCCAUUUUUCCGCUGGGGGGUUUUGGCACCACGACCUUCGGGCGCUUAUUUUUGGGCGCGGCUUUGCCCGCGGCUUAUUUUUGGCACCCCGAGGCCCCUCGCAAAGUCUCGCCGCAUUCCGAGUCCGGCGGACGAACUUCGCCCGCGCCCCCCACCAAGGCUAUAGCCCACCCAUUUUUUGGCCAUUUUUCCGCUGGGGGGUUUUGGCACCACGACCUUCGGGUGCUUAUUUUUGGGCGCGGCUUUGCCCGCGGCUUAUUUUUGGCACCCCGAGGCCCCUCGCAAAGUCUCGCCGCAUUCCGAGUCCGGCGGACGAACUUCGCCCGCGCCCCCCACAAGGCUAUAGCCCACCCGUUUUUUUGGCAUUUUUUCGCUGGGGGGGUUUGGCACCACGACCUUCGGGCGCUUGGUGGGGGGACUUUACCAUUUUUCUCGACCCAUUUUUAGGAUUUGCCCGCGGCUUAUUUUUGGCAGCCCGAGGCCCCUCGCAAAGUCUCGCCGCAUUCCGAGUCCGGCGGACGAACGUCGCCCGCGCCCCCCACCAAGGCUAUAGCCCACCCGUUUUUUGGCCAUUUUUCCGCUAGGGGGUUUUGGCACCACGACCUUCGGGCGCUUAUUUUUGGGCGCGGCUUUGCCCGCGGCUUAUUUUUGGCACCCCGAGGCCCCUCGCAAAGUCUCGCCCCAUUCCGAGUCCGGCGGACGAACUUCGCCCGCGCCCCCCACCAAGGCUAUAGCCCACCCGUUUUUUGGCCAUUUUUCCGCUGGGGGGUUUUGGCACCUCGACCUUCGGGCGCUUAUUUUUGGGCGCGGCUUUGCCCGUGGCUUAUUUUUGGCACCCCGAGGCCCCUCGCAAAGUCUCGCCGCAUUCCGAGUCCGGCGGACGAACGUCGCCCGCGCCCCCCACCAAGGCUAUAGCCCACCCGUUUUUUGGCCAUUUUUCCGCUAGGGGGUUUUGGCACCACGACCUUCGGGCGCUUAUGUUUGGGCGCGGCUUUGCCCGCGGCUUAUUUUUGGCACCCCGAGGCCCCUAGCAAAGUCUCGCCCCAUUCCGAGUCCGGCGGACGAACUUCGUCCGCGCCCCCCACCAAGGCUAUAGCCCACCCGUUUUUUGGCCAUUUUUCCGCUAGGGGGUUUUGGCACCACGACGGUCGAGCGCUUAUUUUUGGGCGCGGCUUUGCCCGCGGCUUAUUUUCUGCACCCCGAGGCCCCUCGCAAAGUCUCGCCGCAUUCCGAGUCCGGCGGACGAACGUCGCCCGCGCCCCCCACCAAGGCUAUAGCCCACCCGUUUUUUGGCCAUUUUUCCGCUGGGGGGUUUUGGCACCACGACCUUCGGGCGCUUAUUUCUGGGCGCGGCUUUGCCCGCGGCUUAUUUUUGGCACCCCGAGGCCCCUCGCAAAGUCUCGCCGCAUUCCGAGUCCGGCGGACGAACUUCGCCCGCGCCCCCCACCAAGGCUAUAGCCCACCCAUUUUUUGGCCAUUUUUCCGCUGGGGGGUUUUGGCACCACGACCUUCGGGUGCUUAUUUUUGGGCGCGGCUUUGCCCGCGGCUUAUUUUUGGCACCCCGAGGCCCCUCGCAAAGUCUCGCCGCAUUCCGAGUCUGGCGGACGAACUUCGCCCGCGCCCCCCACCAAGGCUAUAGCCCACCCGUUUUUUGGCCAUUUUUCCGCUGGGGGGUUUUGGCACCACGACCUUCGGGCGCUUGGUGGGGGGACUUUGCCAUUUUUCUCGCCCCAUUUUUUGGCUUUGCCCGCGGCUUAUUUUUGGCAGCCCGAGGCCCCUCGCAAAGUCUCGCCGCAUUCCGAGUCCGGCGGACGAACGUCGCCCGCGCCCCCCACCAAGGCUAUAGCCCACCCGUUUUUUGGCCAUUUUUCCGCUAGGGGGUUUUGGCACCACGACCUUCGGGCGCUUAUUUUUGGGCGCGGCUUUGCCCGCGGCUUAUUUUUGGCACCCCGAGGCCCCUCGCAAAGUCUCGCCCCAUUCCGAGUCCGGCGGACGAACUUCGCCCGCGCCCCCCACCAAGGCUAUAGCCCACCCGUUUUUUGGCCAUUUU